GACGAACGCUGGCGGCGUGCUUAACACAUGCAAGUCGAACGGAAAGGCCCUGCUUUUGUGGGGUGCUCGAGUGGCGAACGGGUGAGUAACACGUGAGUAACCUGCCCUUUACUUUGGGAUAACUUCAGGAAACUGGGGCUAAUACCGGAUAGGAGCACCUGCUGCAUGGUGGGGGUUGGAAAGUUUCGGCGGUUGGGGAUGGACUCGCGGCUUAUCAGCUUGUUGGUGGGGUAGUGGCUUACCAAGGCUUUGACGGGUAGCCGGCCUGAGAGGGUGACCGGCCACAUUGGGACUGAGAUGCGGCCCAGACUCCUACGGGAGGCAGCAGUGGGGAAUAUUGCACAAUGGGCGGAAGCCUGAUGCAGCAACGCCGCGUGCGGGAUGACGGCCUUCGGGUUGUAAACCGCUUUCGCCUGUGACGAAGCGUGAGUGACGGUAAUGUGUAAAGAAGCACCGGCUAACUACGUG
Molecule: ribosomal RNA, 468 nt
Filed under: uncultured bacterium
Lineage: Bacteria
Description: partial 16S ribosomal RNA
Rfam family: Bacterial small subunit ribosomal RNA
Source: RNAcentral